CUCAUCCUUCACUUAAGCAAUUUGCUGAAAGGUGCGGUCCACGGAUUCACCUCAACCUGUAUCUUUCUGAUUUCUUUAGAUAUUAGGUUGAAAAAGCUUGUUGAUGAACGGGAAUGCUUAUUGGAACAGAUUAAGAAACUCAAAAGGCAGCUGGAAGAGAGGCAGAAGAAUGACAAGCUGGACCAUCUGCGCCCCGAAGAUGGUGUCUUAGAAAACGGAACAGAUAUGCAUGUGAUGGAUCUACAGACUUCGCUCUGCACUGGACAAAACAGAAGAGCUUGAAGUAAGCAACGGCCACUUAGUGAAGCGUCUGGAAAAAAUGAAAGCAAACCGGAGUGCGCUUAUGUCCCAGCAGUGAACACCAGCUCUGAGCGGGAACCCGACUGGUGAAUGGGGAGCAUUGUUUCCUAGGCUUUUCUCUGUUCCUGUUCUGGAAGCUGCUGCUUCCCCUGCUUCUGCAAGAACAUCCCAGUGAGCACUCGGCUCCCUCGUGCUCCCGAGCUGGCUCAACCAUGGGAGCCCCAGCAGCCACCAGAUGCCUCUGUCUGCAGACCCCGACCCCAGGCUGGGGCCAUCUCUCCAAACCUGCAGGUGAUUUAAUAAGCACACUGGGCCCAUGGGAGCCCUGUCUCCAAUGGCACAGCAGCCUCUUAAUGCCAUUUAAAAUGGUGAUCAAAGUAAAGAUUAAAGUGGGACUUGAGUUUUCUUUUCAUGUGUCUUGCUGAAAAUUAAGGGGAAAUGUUACAGCGUUGGGACUUCCUUUCCUGGCAGAAUCUACAAUUUGAGCGACUUCAGUAGUAUCUCUUAGUCCAUGCUUUUCACACACAAAACACUGUGGAACCACAAGCCAUUACCAAGCAAAACUCUCUCACUAGAAACAAGAGGAUGGUCUGGAAGUAAAAGUGACCUUAAGAAGACUCUUUCCAGGCAACAAAUGAAGCUUUUCUAAGGGAUUUUUGCAUCAGUUCAAUCAUAAGAAUACUUUUUUUCCAGGAUAAUUAGGCAACAGCUUCACUGAAAAUGACAGCUUUUCAUUUGCAUUAUUUAAUCCUUAUAUUUGGAAUUGAAGUUGUUAACUUCUUUUAAAGAAUGUACUAUUAGAAAAAUUAAAAAAAUGAAAUGUUAAAA
RNAcentral lists this long non-coding RNA (1128 nucleotides) under Equus caballus (horse). RNAcentral's name for it is "lncRNA (ENSECAG00000049235.1)". Lineage: Eukaryota; Metazoa; Chordata; Mammalia; Perissodactyla; Equidae. The record is from RNAcentral.